GGGGCGCUGGCGCAACGGUAGCGCGGUAUGUCUCCAACACAGUGAAGGUUAUCCGUUCGAAUCGGGUGUGCCUCA
Cladobotryum mycophilum is the source of this 75-nucleotide non-coding RNA. NCBI's taxonomy places the organism in Eukaryota, Fungi, Ascomycota, Sordariomycetes, Hypocreales, Hypocreaceae. The record is from the annotation of a GenBank genome assembly.